RNAcentral lists this microRNA precursor (68 nucleotides) under Heterocephalus glaber (naked mole-rat). RNAcentral's name for it is "mir-374 microRNA precursor family". It matches the Rfam family "mir-374 microRNA precursor family". The record is from Rfam by way of RNAcentral. Lineage: Eukaryota; Metazoa; Chordata; Mammalia; Rodentia; Bathyergidae.
ACACUGGCCAUUAUAAUACAACCUGAUAAGUAUUACAUUUAUCAGAUUGUAUUGUAAUUGUCUGUGUA